Molecule: ribosomal RNA, 253 nt
Filed under: uncultured bacterium
Lineage: Bacteria
Description: partial 16S ribosomal RNA
Rfam family: Bacterial small subunit ribosomal RNA
Source: RNAcentral
GACAGAGGAGGCGAGCGUUAUCCGGAGUUAUUGGGCGUAAAGGGUACGUAGGCGGCUGGUCAAGUCUGGGGUUAAAGACUACAGCUAAACUGUGGGGUGGCCUUGGAAACUGACAGGCUGGAGUGGGGCAGGGGUUGCGGGAAUUCCCGGUGUAGCGGUGAAAUGCGUAGAUAUCGGGAAGAACACCUGAGGCGAAAGCGCUCAACUGGGCCCUAACUGACGCUGAGGUACGAAAGCUAGGUGAGCGAAUGGG